GUCAGGGAGCCGGCAAAGCAAAAAAAGAGUGAGCCGGCAGCGCGUUCCGCGCGGCCGGCAAAC
The sequence is a regulatory RNA element, 63 nucleotides long. It matches the Rfam family "DnaX ribosomal frameshifting element". From Rfam's summary of the family: This family represents a ribosomal frameshifting element found in the mRNA of the dnaX gene in E. coli. The dnaX gene has two encoded products tau and gamma which are produced in a 1:1 ratio. The record is from Rfam.